GAUGAAGAACGUAGCGAAAUGCGAUAAGUAAUGUGAAUUGCAGAAUUCAGUGAAUCAUCGAAUCUUUGAACGCACAUUGCGCCCGCCAGUAUUCUGGCGGGCAUGCCUGUUCGAGCGUCAUUUCAACCAUCAAGCCCCCGGCUUGUGUUGGGGACCUGCGGCUGCCGCAGGCCCUGAAAACCAGUGGCGGGCUCGCUAGUCACUCCGAGCGUAGUAGCACAUCUCGCUCAGAGCGUGCGGCGGGUUCUUGCCGUAAAACACCCCCUUUUUACCAAGGUUGACCUCGGAUCAGGUAGGAAUACCCGCUGAACUUAAGCAUAUCAAUAAGCGGAGGA
RNAcentral lists this unclassified non-coding RNA (335 nucleotides) under soil metagenome. RNAcentral's name for it is "partial contains 5.8S ribosomal RNA, internal transcribed spacer 2, and large subunit ribosomal RNA". The stretch from base 1 to 120 matches the Rfam family "5.8S ribosomal RNA", at positions 35 to 154 of the family's 154-position model. The record is from RNAcentral.